AUUAAACGCUGGCGGCAUGCCUUACACAUGCAAGUCGAACGGCAGCACGGGGCAACCUGGUGGCGAGUGGCGAACGGGUGAGUAAUAGGUAGGAGACCUACCUCAUACAGGGGGAUAGCAUAGAGAAAUCUGUGGUAAUACCCCAUGAGGUUAUAUGAAUAGAGGCAUAUAAUCAAAGCAUAAGUGAUUAUGCGGUAUGAGAGGGGCCUACUGACCAUUAGCUAGUUGGUGAGGUAAGGGCUCACCAAGGCGAAGAUGGUUAGGGGUUUUGAGAGAGAGACCCCCCACAUUGGAACUGAGAGACGGCCCAGACUCCUACGGGAGGCAGCAGUCGAGAAUAGUCUACAAUGGCCGGAAGGCUGAUAGUGCGACGCCGCGUGAACGAGGGAGCCCUUCGGGUGUAAAGUUCUUUCUAUACGAGCAGUGCUAUAUAUAUGGAUAGUAUAUAUAGAGGGAGUAGUAGUAUAGGAAUAAGCAACGGCUAACUCCG
This 490-nucleotide ribosomal RNA is filed under the name uncultured bacterium. Its description in RNAcentral is "bacterial SSU rRNA". It matches the Rfam family "Bacterial small subunit ribosomal RNA", at positions 30 to 505 of the family's 1533-position model. The record is from RNAcentral.